AGUUCGGCCAGUUUAGGAUUGGCUUUACUGGCCCGGCGAGCCACACCUGCGGACCCACCUCUGCUGCCCCUCGCGACCAUGGCAGGGGGUCGGACUCGAGGAUCCCCGUAUCUAGUUUGCUUUACUUGUUGAAUUAUUAUUGUUGUUGUUGUUGUUAUUGUUAAAUUUGUAUACCACCUUUCACCGAAAGAUCUCAGAGCAGCUCACAACAUAAAAACAACAUAAUACAUAAUACCCCUCCCCUCCCACAAACACAUUUAAAAGGAUAUGCUUCGUGGGAGCUGGUGACCCCCCACGCCCCAGACCCUCGCAGUUUCCACAUUCAAGAUGACGGAAGUAGCAGUGGCACCCUGCAAGGAGAAAAGUAGCAUGCGGGGGGGGGGACUUUCUCGCUGAUGAUGUGCUGAUUUUGUAUUCAGUGCCAGUGGGAGGUUUUUAAUUUGUUUUAAAUGUUCUGUAAAGUUCUCUGUUAAGUUUCAGGGCUCUUGCUGAAAACUCAAGCCUCCCCUGCCAUAAUUGGAAAAGUUAUUUUUAAAAGUGGAGGAAAUGUUGAAUUUUAUGUUGUUUUAUGUAAUCUGUGUUGUCCACUUCAUAUUUUGUGCCACAUAAAUUGCAUAGAAUCCUACGAUUGUAGGGUUGGAAGGGACAUCAACGGUCAUCUAGUCCAACCCCCUGCAAUGCAGGAACCACAACUAUCUCAGUUCUUUCAGCUUUAAUCAACAGCAUGAGAACUGCUAAAUAGAUUACGUAGCUAUGUGGUGGGGAAAAGAUGGUCGUCCCUAUGUUGCUAGUGAUAAAAAAAACAGAGCAGCCUCCACAGACCUGGAGGGGAAGAGGAGCCUUCUCUCAAGGAGUGUACGGACUGGGGCCAAUGAGAAUUGUAGUACAGAAUAUCUGAAAGGCACUAGGUUGGAAAGGAUUAAUUUGAAUGAUCUUAAGGUUGAUGUCCAGAAGCAAGGGAUAAUACUCAUGUAUUAUCAGGGUCCACCCAGAUAAACAGUCAGCAUGUCAGCCUCUUUCCCCCUGCAAGAGGCUACUGUGCUUCAUCUCUGCCUCAUCAAGAUCUGCUCCAGCUCUCUGCCAGCAAAGUCUUAAGAUCUGACAACCUUAGUGAGAGCGGAUGGGAAUCUGCGUUUUGUACCUGCGUAUCUGUCUCUGCAUGUGUGUGCAGCUACAGCCAAUACAGUAUCUCUUGGAACCCACAAGAUAAGGGAUGGGGAGCCUGUUCUCCUCCAGAUGUUGUUGGACAACAACCCCCAUCAUCAUUGACUCUUGGCUGAGGCUUAUGGGAAUUGGAGUCAAACAACAUCUGGGGUGGCACAGGACUCCCAUCCCGGUCCCAGUUAUUUCACUUCUAGAAACCUAAUCUCCCCCAAAAGCAGUAAUGGGACAAUGUUUUACAGGUGCUAGCUAGAAAACAUGAAUCCUUCUUGGAAAAUGUUGCAUUAUUUAUUUUUUAUGCUAUCUUUCUACACAGUGGUAUUCAAAGUGGUUGAAAUACAAUAUAAAACACAACAGAAAAAUGAAAUACAACAUAAAACAAUCCUAUAUAAAACAAGGCGAUAAGAAAACAGAUCAAGGAUAAAAGCAAUCCAAUAUUGACAUUAUACUGGGGCUGGAGAUACGCCACUGAACGGAUGCUGAAUUCAGUAAGUGCUCAGCCUGGGAAGGGCGGGGGGAAACAGUCGGAAAAUAAAAAUAUGCUGUGAAAAGGGGACAAACACCCUGCUCUGUGCCUUUGGAAGCACUGCCGUAGCCCACCAAUCAGGAACUGUGCCAGCAAUGACACCCACAGUUCUUGGAGUAGGGUUUAUGUACUAACAAUGUAACGCUAGGCAUAAAAUUCAUAACUAGCACAACUAUCUUCAUCACAAGCCAACAACUAUAGAAGUCUGUUCAGCCUUCCAGAAAAGCCUCUAAAUUGGAGCUGAGCAUAAUACAAGCCAAUUGUCCCUAAAUGGGUAGAGCAAUCCUAUACUCCACUUACGGGGCAGCUGGCAAAGCUAUGCAAGUCUGAUGGGAGUCUUCAUUAUUCUUAAGGAAAUUAUUAUACAUGUGGAGGGGAGAAAAAUCAUAGUUUAAUCAAUGCAUGAAUGAAAUGGGCAUAUGCUUCUGAAAGCGAUACAUCCAUAGAAAUCAUUGCCUUCUGAUGUGAUUGUCUGCCCUUAGAGGAAAAAAAUUGGUACAUGGGCUUAGAAAGCAGAAUUCAGGCAAAUAGGCAGCUGACAUUAUUUCAGCAAAUAAUAACAGAAGAAACAAAUACAUCUGAAGGAGAAACAUCAAAAUUACAUGAAAUAUAGAUUAUGAGGUGGGCACAACAAAAAUGUAUGAGAUUCUGAUCUUAAAUGUGAACAUUGAUAUGAAUACAUGCAAUAUCACAUGAAGUAUAAAAAACCUCCUAUAGGUGGAAAUAAUUCAAUAAAAUUUGUUUGCUGAUGAUAUAACACAGCAGUUAACUUACCCUAUAUAAAUGGAACUCAACCCCCUUUCUUCUGGAGAAGCUGCACCGAUAAAGGUGCAUAGUAAGGUAAAGGUAAAGGACCCCUGAACAGUUAAGGCGACUAUGGGGUCAUUUUGCCAGCAUGACUAAACUGCUUUUGGUGCAAUGGGACACCAUGAUGGAAGCCAGAGUGCACAGAAACACGGUUUACCUUCCCGUCGUAGCAGUACCUAUUUAGCUACUUGCACUGGCAUGCUUUCAAACUGCUAGGUUGGCAAGAGCUGGGACAGAGCAAUGGGAGCUCACCCUGUCGCACAGAUUCGAAGAGAUAACCUUCUAAUCGGCAAGCCCCAAAGGCUCAGUGGUUUAUAGGAUGGACAUAUCCAACAGUAAUUUUAUUUUUGGAAGCAAUUUUCAAGAAUUAGAAAAAUACGAUGCCAGAUUAAUACAAAAAACAAAACUAAGAACUUGAAAGUAAAGAGCUAAUACCAAAAUUCCUAUAACUAAACAAUUACCAUAACUGGGUUUAAAAGGAGCUAACCUAAAAGAUCACACAGAAAAGAUCCUCUCACUUCUUAUAUACUCUACAGAUCACUAUACUCUGCAGGAGACAGUUUACUGAAGAUACCAAUUGGGCUGUUUGUGUGGUGGUACCUAUUCUUUGAAGACAGGUGCUGUCUCAAUUGUCUUUUCAGUGCCUAUCGAAGACCUUCCUUUUUCAACAAGCCUUUUAAGUGGAGAGUUUUAUCCCAAUCUGUUACUGUAUUGGAUUCGAAAUUGAUUUUUCUAUAUGUCUCUGUUAAACCACUUCGGGAUUUUCAUGAGAAUAGAUGCAAUAAAUUAAUUAAUAAAAGGAAAAUGUAGAAACAACACCUUGGUCACAUGGCACAAAUUCAUUUUGUGUUCAAACAGGAAAAGAAGGCAGGGAUCCAUCAUCUUACAACUCUGAAAUACUUGAGGAAUAAGCAGUGUAAUACAAAUUAGAGACACAAACCCAACGUGUUGAAGGCAGUUUUCUGGACCCAAAUAAAGCUGUGAACUCUGUAGCUCUGUCUAGCAUUGCAUUUGAAAACCAUGCAUAUAAUAAUGUGUUGAAUACCUGGAAGGUUAAUACAGAAAAUAUUAUGCAUAUUUCUAAUUUUAUUGUGAGCAUAUUAUUAUCUAUCUAACAAAUUAGGAAACAGUAGCAUUGAAAAAUAUCCUGUUUAUGUUUGGCCUCCAUUGUGUAUUGUCUUAUUUAGAUAUUAUAUUUAUAUUUAAUACUGUUGUUGAAUUAUAUUCCCAGGGAAACUCACUUUGUUUGUUUGUUUUCUGGACUCUCAAUGGGUCCUACUUUGAGUAGCAUUGGAUACAGCCCUUAUUCUUCAGUGGACAGCAUUUCUAAUUUGUUUUAUUUAUUUAAAGCGUAUUGUGCUUUUACAUAUCUGUGCCGCUGCUUUUAGAUUGUUUGUGUUUUUAUGAGAUGGGGG
This 3909-nucleotide long non-coding RNA is filed under the name Podarcis lilfordi (Lilford's wall lizard). Lineage: Eukaryota; Metazoa; Chordata; Lepidosauria; Squamata; Lacertidae. The record is from RNAcentral.